Molecule: long non-coding RNA, 2658 nt
Organism: Onychostoma macrolepis
Lineage: Eukaryota; Metazoa; Chordata; Actinopteri; Cypriniformes; Cyprinidae
Exons: 6
Source: RefSeq, a predicted model, not a curated record
UAUCUGUAAGAAUACAGAGGUAAAAAUUAAAAAUGUGGAGGUUUGUUUUAUAAUAUAUGAUAGACUGACAGUUAAGUAACACAACUAAGGGAUCUGUUCAACUGAAUAUUAUCACGAUUUCAAAUGUUACAUUGCAUUUAUAGUUUAAUAAACAAGUAGCCUAAUAUGUAGUCACUUACCAUUUAGACGCAAUAUUGACGUUUUUGUUUUAUUUCACCAACGAAAAAAGUUACAGAAGAAAAGCAACACUCAGCACGGUGUUUUGUUAUUGAAUGAUUCAUCAUUUUGAACGAAUCGUUUUAAUGAAUGACUCAAUGAUUAAUUUAUUAAGACGGUCACUUGCCGCCACCUAUUGACGGUUUAGUUUCAUGUUUAAAAGUAGGCCAUCGUCGUUGUUGUUGUUGUUGUUUUUACAUUUGUUUAAACAUCAAUCUCAUAAAUUAUUUAUUACAGUUGUAAUCUUGCAGUGUAAAUUAUUUAAUUUGAUUGAUAACAGCCCUUAUUAUUAAAACUGAAUUUGAUCAAAUGUAAGAAUUUGACAUGAAAGAUAAAGCUUAAAAAGAUAAAGUAGCCUAGAAAUAAAUAAUUUUUAACCUUUAAUAUUAGAAUGAUGUACCAACUGGGGUUUACAGCAUUAGUUGAGAGAUAUUUUUUUCUUUGAAGAAAUUUGCUAUGUACUGUACCUGAUAGGCCACAACUUAAUCAAUAUUCAAUCAAAUUGUGUCAAUAAAUGUUUUCUUUUUAUUUAUUUUUUAAAUAAAUGUAUUGAAGCAAAAUGUUUCUUGUCAGAAUGCACCAAAAUGCUUCAUUUGGUUAAAAUCAUAAACAUAGUCUCAUGGGGGACAAUGCCCCAGACACCCCUACAACAAAUUACUUCGUAAACAUGUCACCUUUUUCAGCACUUUUGAGUUUGCAGGUCUGUAGUAUUAUUUAAUAUGAUUUACCAUGUUUCUAGCGUGAUUUACCAUGAUUUACCACAUUGCUAGCAAUUGUGUGAAGUGUCAGUACAAAUGAAGUGAUAAACCCUGUGAGAGUGUUAUGUCUGUAGCGUUAAUGAUCCUGGAUGAAGCUAUGAACAUAAUCUCCAAAUUGCACCCAAGAAGAUUGGAAGUGUACUAAAGUAGUGACCAGUGUACUAAAUCCAUAAGUGUCAAGACAAAUACAGCAACAAGCAAAGAGGCAUUGACAGAGAGUCAAGAAAUGAUGAUGAGAAGAAUUAUUAUUAAUAUUUCAGUAAAGUUCAUUAAAUCUACUCUGUUGUUAGUGUGGUCUUUAAACUUAUGAACUGUGUAUGGACUGACAAAGGUGUUACAUGAGGAAGCAAUUUGACAACAAUGCAGUAAAUAUUUUAGGUCCAUCAAAAAGCGUGCUCGUUAAGAUACCAGCAGACAAGCUAAUCCAGCACAAAUUAGUGCAUAAAAGGUCACCAAAAUGAAGUAUUGAACCUCAUAAUUAAAUACAAAAGGAGGAGAAAAACUGCAAAAAGGUCCACUUUUUGAAAAAAAGAACCCCCCCUUUCAAUAGGCUGGCUACGGACCUGCAAAGGUAUUCAGGAAGUAUUUAAGAGGGAUCUCAGAAAAAUGGGAGUGAAAGAAUUAAGUCAUGAGAGUUCAAUUACAUACGGAUUAGAAAGCGUAUUCCCUUAUUUAAAGAGAACAGAGCUGAUUAAAAGAAUUUAGAUUUAAAUAAUUUUUUUCCCCUUUCUUUCUUUUGGGUGUAAUAAUGGGCAAACUCUGGUCCACACUCCAACACAGUAGGUGGCGAUAAUGCACCUUAAUAAAAUCAUAAAACCGAAAAAGUUUUAAUUAACACCUUACACUGCCACGCCGUUUUUCAACUUCGUUCGUCUGGAAGGCUGCCAUUUUUGGAGUUUCUCCAUAGAAGCAAUUUACAGCUUUUUGGAGAGUCAAACUGGAAGAAAGUAAGUUCCUGGUGAAGCGAGGCGAAUUUUGCUAAGGAGCACUUCUAUGAUGCAUCAAGUGGCUCAGGGUACCAUGGCUUGGCGUUUAAAGAGAAGUACAGAUUAGAACCUGGUGAUGACUCACCAGGGUAGGACAUCUCUGCCUAUCACCUGCCCCCAACAUCACAAAGCCACAAUAAGAGAACAAAGAUCAGCCUCCUUCAGGCAAAUGGCUAUUUAGUGAGAUUUCUUAAGAACACAGAUAUUUGUAAUACAAAUUGAGAGCUUCCUGUCCCUUCAUUGACAGUCCACUCAUCUACAUUUCAAGCCCAAGAAAGGUAUGAACUAGCAUUCCAGUAUUUUUGGAGGAAGUUGAAUCUGCACAGCCUUUCCUGUUCUAUGAAAAAAACCAUGCACUGAACUUUACUGUUUGCAACUGUAACACAGCUGAUCCACAUAUCUUUUUAUCAGCUGAAUGUUGUUGACUCAAGCACAGCUGUGCUGUGUGGCAAAGUAGGUAUUGAGUUGACUAAGCUUCUGACAUUUAGCGACACAGUUCUUACAUUCACUGACAUGUACAGGACUUGAAGUAUUACAGACCAUCUGAUAAGCAGCUUUCAUAUUAUUUCUGAUGACAGAAAUGUGCAUUCAUCAUUUAUUUUAAAAGUGAACCUUCCAUGAUGUAAAGUGGCUUGUACAUUAAUAAAGAACUACGUAGUUUGUUAAAACUGUUUGCAUUUUGCCUUUUUUAACUUUGU